This is a long non-coding RNA of Mesocricetus auratus (golden hamster), 1031 nucleotides long. RefSeq lists it as uncharacterized. The record is from RefSeq and is a predicted model, not a curated record. NCBI's taxonomy places the organism in Eukaryota, Metazoa, Chordata, Mammalia, Rodentia, Cricetidae. The transcript is spliced from 3 exons.
CCUCCCAGUGUUUUGUUUUGCUGAAAAACAUUAACAUCCUAUUCAAUUUUAAAGUUAAAAGGCAAGUCGCUAUGUCAGUGGGUACAGUGCACCCCUGACAUAGGCGUGGGGACCAUAUCUAGGGUUGCACGCCCAUUACAAGGUCUCAGGUUCCCAGGCAUAAAGGCACAGCUGCAGAAAGGGAGUGGCCUUUUAGGGACCGGUCAUUCUGUCCUAAAAAUAUGCUGAUGCUACCCUAAGCACGAAUUACCAGCACUUCAAGUUCAGUUCUGCUCACCCAGCAGCUGCGUCGGACAUCACUUCACAGUUCCUCUAAUUGCUCUCGAGAUUGGAUUCCUCACUGACAAGCCAGAAACCAGACUAGCGUCUAGGGAGCAUCUGUAUGGCUUGCUUUCGGUGGGCGUUCAGCCCAGCAACAGACACCUGACGAGCACACCACUUGACUGUGUGUGUGUGCCACCGCCCUCCACACGGUGCCUUCUCCUCUUCUCUUGUUGCUCGUGGUGAUCAGGGUAAACGUGGCUCCCAUCUGGUGGCCCUCACCAAUGCUUCAGGCCCCACGGGACCCUGCAUUGGAUCCGCAAGAAGGUCCCAGAAGCAGAGGAAAGAAACGGAGAAUGAGUGACCAUCAAGAGCGGGACGAUGCCUCUGAGUGGAGGCCCAUAGGCCCAGGCAGAGCUGAGGAGGGGAUGCACUCUCUCUUAUUUCAAUAGCAGCUAGGAGACCAGGCCUGAGAACUGGUAUGAGAAGACAUUACCAUUUCAAAAAGGGCUUGUCUAGGGCCCUGGAAUUUUAAACUGCAGUUCUUGAAGACAUGGUUAAUCCCUCCCAAACUUUGAUCUGUUCUUGCUGUAUGGUUGGACACUGGUUUCUCUGUCUCGAUUCUGAGCCAUCUAAAAAUGGCUACCCAAGCCAUCACAAUGUGAUAAGAAACAGUUGGGGCCUCUCUAGAGCCCACUGUUCUUGAUUUAGUGGUGUUGUAAACCUGGCUGCACAGAGCUACUAGUAAAAAAACAAACUUCCUAAAGUGA